Prionailurus viverrinus (fishing cat) is the source of this 538-nucleotide long non-coding RNA. RefSeq lists it as uncharacterized. The transcript is spliced from 3 exons. NCBI's taxonomy places the organism in Eukaryota, Metazoa, Chordata, Mammalia, Carnivora, Felidae. The record is from RefSeq and is a predicted model, not a curated record.
UAUUCAAGAUCUCAUUAUUGGCUAAGUCAUGGAAAUCUUUUGCAGAGCGCCAUGUUUAAUGACGUCGAGCCCAGUCCUUCCCAAGAGGCUUAGAGCAUCGCAGCCAAAACUGCAUGCUCCGCGAGGCUACUCAGUUUUGACUCCUGGCUCAGACCACGAUAUUGCAGAAAUGGCAGAUGACAAAGACUGUUGCAAGACGUACAAACGGCUGAAAACUUAGAAGAGACAAGAAUUAGAAUGACACAGAGCUACUUGGCCAUCCGACGGUGUCCACGGAACCCCUGAAGGAGCAGCUGCUUUGACCACAAUGACAGAAGAACUGGGGUGAGGCCGUGGGAGAUCCACCCACCGCCCCCUUCUCCAGCAGCGAAGGCUGCAGGCAGACUGGUGAGCGUUGCUGUGGGAGGCCAAGGGCGUAGAUGAUUCUAUACACGCGGGACCUCUCGGAUGUCAUGGGAGCCUCACCGUAACCUGUAACGAGCCGAAUAUCCACGCCAGACCUUUGUUCCACACGGAAGGCUGUUGUAUAUCUCGUGGC